RNAcentral lists this ribosomal RNA (469 nucleotides) under uncultured bacterium. RNAcentral's name for it is "partial 16S ribosomal RNA". It matches the Rfam family "Bacterial small subunit ribosomal RNA", at positions 28 to 508 of the family's 1533-position model. The record is from RNAcentral.
GACGAACGCUGGCGGCGUGCUUAACACAUGCAAGUCGAACGGAAAGGCCCUGCUUUUGUGGGGUGCUCGAGUGGCGAACGGGUGAGUAACACGUGAGUAACCUGCCCUUGACUUUGGGAUAACUUCAGGAAACUGGGGCUAAUACCGGAUAGGAGCUCCUGCUGCAUGGUGGGGGUUGGAAAGUUUCGGCGGUUGGGGAUGGACUCGCGGCUUAUCAGCUUGUUGGUGGGGUAGUGGCUUACCAAGGCUUUGACGGGUAGCCGGCCUGAGAGGGUGACCGGCCCCAUUGGGACUGAGAGACGGCCCAGACUCCUACGGGAGGCAGCAGUGGGGAAUAUUGCACAAUGGGCGGAAGCCUGAUGCAGCAACGCCGCGUGCGGGAUGACGGCCUUCGGGUUGUAAACCGCGUUCGCCUGUGACGAAGCGUGAGUGACGGUAAUGGGUAAAGAAGCACCGGCUAACUACGUGC